This 435-nucleotide ribosomal RNA is filed under the name uncultured bacterium. RNAcentral's name for it is "bacterial SSU rRNA". It matches the Rfam family "Bacterial small subunit ribosomal RNA", at positions 958 to 1392 of the family's 1533-position model. The record is from RNAcentral.
AACGCGAAGAACCUUACCAAGUCUUGACAUCCCCCUGACCGGAACUUAACCGUUCCUUUCCUUCGGGACAGGGGAGACAGGUGGUGCAUGGUUGUCGUCAGCUCGUGUCGUGAGAUGUUGGGUUAAGUCCCGCAACGAGCGCAACCCUUAUCCUUAGUAGCCAGCAGGUAGAGCUGGGCACUCUAGGGAGACUGCCAGGGAUAACCUGGAGGAAGGUGGGGAUGACGUCAAAUCAUCAUGCCCCUUAUGAUUUGGGCUACACACGAGCUACAAUGGCGUAAACAAAGGGAAGCGACCCCGCGAGGGCAAGCAAAUCUCAAAAAUAACGUCUCAGUUCGGAUUGCAGGCUGCAACUCGCCUGCAUGAAGCUGGAAUCGCUAGUAAUCGCGAAUCAGAAUGUCGCGGUGAAUACGUUCCCGGGUCUUGUACACACCG